ACAGUAAACAACAUAGGAAAGGCAAACAGAAGAGCUCAGCCCAUGCUGAAGGUUUCCCGUUCAUUUGAGCAUAGAAACAAUAUGUGAACUUGCUAAUCACCUAUUCUCUUGGAAAUAGACUAGAAAAGCAGCAGCAAAAGGUCUUUGCACUGAAUCUUUCUAGAUGUGUAAGAAUCAAAGAUGAGUUUGUUCAUGUGGAAAAUAACAUCAUGUGCAAAACUGACAAACUCAGGUAGAGCUCUGGCUCCUUGACAUAGUAAGUCAAGGCAAUGCUUGUAGCACUUAAAGUGUGUGUGUGUGUGUGUGGUUGUGUGUGUGUGGUUGUACUCAUGUAUGUAUUUCCAAAUCAAUAGUCUCAGAUGAGGAAAUACUUUUGGAGAGGAGUACACUAUUUUGAUUUCUGAAGAAUCACUUGUGGCCCUGAGCUGAGGAAGUAGAUAGGUUUAUACAAAUGAUUUAACUGCUUUGUGCCACACUUGCUUUUUCUAAUUCAUCCACAAAACUAUACACUUAAUGUUAUGUGCACAUUUA
Long non-coding RNA from Perognathus longimembris pacificus (Pacific pocket mouse), 531 nucleotides. RefSeq lists it as uncharacterized. The record is from RefSeq and is a predicted model, not a curated record. The transcript is spliced from 3 exons. NCBI's taxonomy places the organism in Eukaryota, Metazoa, Chordata, Mammalia, Rodentia, Heteromyidae.